GACGAACGCUGGCGGCGUGCCUAAUACAUGCAAGUCGAGCGGGCCUCCGGAGGUGCUUGCACCUCCGGAAGGCCAGCGGCGGACGGGUGAGUAACACGUGGGCAACCUGCCUUUGAGGCCGGGAUAACACCGGGAAACCGGUGCUAAUACCGGAUGCGUCCCCUUUCGCGCCUGCGAGAGGGGAGAAAGACGGUCUUUAAGGCCGUCGCUCAAAGAGGGGCCCGCGGCGCAUUAGCUGGUUGGUGGGGUAAGGGCCUACCAAGGCGACGAUGCGUUGCCGACCUGAGAGGGUGAUCGGCCACACUGGGACUGAGGCACGGCCCAGACUCCUGCGGGAGGCAGCAGUAGGGAAUCAUCCGCAAUGGGCGAAAGCCUGACGGUGCAACGCCGCGUGAGUGAGGAAGGUUUUCGGAUCGUAAAGCUCUGUUGUGAGGGAAGAACAGCUUCCGGAGGAAAUGCCGGAGGUUUGCCGGUACCUCACCAGAAAGCCCCGGCUAACUACGUGCCAGCCGCCGCAGUAA
Molecule: ribosomal RNA, 521 nt
Filed under: uncultured bacterium
Lineage: Bacteria
Description: partial 16S ribosomal RNA
Rfam family: Bacterial small subunit ribosomal RNA
Source: RNAcentral